Molecule: long non-coding RNA, 2080 nt
Organism: Mus musculus (house mouse)
Lineage: Eukaryota; Metazoa; Chordata; Mammalia; Rodentia; Muridae
Product: predicted gene, 38412
Exons: 3
Source: RefSeq, marked validated
CUUACUCUACGCUGUCCUUUCCCAGGGACUUGCUAACCCACCCUCUACAGGCUCCCUCGACACAGAGUCCACAGUCGCCUGAGGCUUCUCUCUAAUCUGAGUGACAUCUUGUGAUUAGCACCACUCACAGCUCGGCCUAUCACAUGGCAUGGCUUGCUGUACCAUCACCUUCAAUAUUAGCUACCUCUGGAGUGCCAGCCUGGGUGGCAUGUUGGGGCAGGCCCAGAAUGAACCCUGGAGAACCAGAGAAACAAAACACCUCCUUCAAAAGCAGACAGCUUCACCCACCGGCUCUCAGAGCAUGUCUGUAGGGCGUCCAACCUUGCUACACAUUGUCUCGCUCACCUCGGACGCUUGCAGGACCUGACGAAAGCCUCCAUUACCACCCCUGAAGAUUGCACAAUCAACGCUAUGUAGAUAAUGCUGACAAGUUCUUCAGCCAGCUCAAUAUUGUCUGGUGUGUCUGAAGACAACUACAGUGUACUUACAUAUAAUAAAUAAAUACAUCUUUAAAAGAAUAUUUUCCUAAUCCCAUUAUCCUAAUGUUACAGGUCAGGAAGUUGAAUUCAGAGGCUAAUAGCUUGCUCAGAGAUGCAUAGCUAUAAGCACUGAGCUAGACCUGCUUUCUCCUACAUGCUUGCAGCAGAACUUACCUCCAAUUAAUUUCAAUAUUAAUACAACAAGAAGCCUGUGAUUGUACAGUGGAAAAGGAAGGCGGGCAGGGAAUUUUAGAAACAGGAGAGAGAAGACAGAGAGGAGAAGGAAAGAAGAUGGAGGAAGAGAAAGACGAUCCAGAUUCCACGUGGCUUUAAAUAGCCACAGGUAGCUAUGACUAUCUUAUAAGGGAUGGAUAAUUACAGGACAAUUUGUCCAAUCCAGGUGGGCAGUUUAUAUCAAUAUCAAUUGGCUCUGAGUUCAUUGUGUGGGCAUUUUGUGGGGUGAGAGUUACUGACAUAAAUCUGACUUAUAAAUUCCAAGCCUCUAGAGUUUCGACUUUACUGGGUUCCUGGGAUUUGGAAGCAUUGACCACAGGGGUGGAUGGCUCUGCUCACAGGGAAGGUGAGCAGAAUCCGCAGCAAGAGAACCACAAGAUGGGCAGUUGCUGCAUGGGAUUAGCCAUGGAGGCAGCAAGGUCACCCGAGUCAGAGAGUAGCCAGUGAUAGCGCAGGAUGGGGCUUCUUUUUUUUUUUUUUUUAAUCUGAACAAACCCUGUAUUCUUUAGACUCUUAUCUCUAAGAUUCCAAACACGUUAUAGCAUUCAACAAAAAUAUUAUAGACAUUUUUCUGCUUUCAUUGUCAAUUUACGGGAUUGUGCUCAAAAAAUAUCCUGAAACAUUUUUAUAAAUCAACUGAGAUAGAACUUAUAUAUGUGUCUGCUUAAACCUUAUUCCCCCAAACCAACGCUAACAGGACCUUAUAGCCAAGAAGUGCUGGCUGUUUUUGUUUUUGAGACACGGUCUUGAUGAUAUAGCCCUGGCUAUCUGGUAACUCUGCAAACCAGACUGACCUUGAACUCCACGACCUGCCUGCCCGUCUCCCAGUGCUGGGGUUAAAGACCUGUACCACGGCAAAGAAUAGCUGGUGUUUUAACAGUCAGAGAUACACAUUAGUUUAACUGGAAGUCUGAACUGGAAGCAACCAUGGCAGUAAGCUGAAAUCUGUCAGCUAAUUUGAUAAAAUAGUUUUUGUCUCAAAAUUAUCAGCCAUUUCUUUUAGCUGAUACUUCUUUUACUAGCUUUAUAAAAAGAAAAUGAACAAUCUAACUUAACUAUAAAGCUGGUUCUCAUUUUUCACACUGUUAUUUUUUAAAUAGUUUUUAACUUAAUUUAUUCACAUUAUAUUUUUAAACUCCACAUUCUUUUCUAUAUAGUUGCAUGUCAAAAAAUACUAAAGAGUUUCACGGUUUGCUGAAAUACAUGUAGGAAAACAUAGAUAUGUGGCAUAAUAGCUUGCUUAAAUUUCUCUUAAAGAAACAUAAUUAAUUUAAAGAGUUCCAACACAUUUUUAAAAAAAAAUUCCAGCAACGAUUAUUUCUGAAAUGUAUAAAAUUUAAAUAAUUAAAAGGUUAAAAACCAAAAUG